RNAcentral lists this ribosomal RNA (491 nucleotides) under uncultured bacterium. RNAcentral describes it as "partial 16S ribosomal RNA". It matches the Rfam family "Bacterial small subunit ribosomal RNA", at positions 29 to 507 of the family's 1533-position model. The record is from RNAcentral.
GUGAACGCUGGCGGUAGGCCUAACACAUGCAAGUCGAACGGCAGCACAGUAAGAGCUUGCUCUUACGGGUGGCGAGUGGCGGACGGGUGAGGAAUACAUCGGAAUCUACUUUUUCGUGGGGGAUAACGUAGGGAAACUUACGCUAAUACCGCAUACGACCUACGGGUGAAAGCAGGGGAUCUUCGGACCUUGCGCGAUUGAAUGAGCCGAUGUCGGAUUAGCUAGUUGGCGGGGUAAAGGCCCACCAAGGCGACGAUCCGUAGCUGGUCUGAGAGGAUGAUCAGCCACACUGGAACUGAGACACGGUCCAGACUCCUACGGGAGGCAGCAGUGGGGAAUAUUGGACAAUGGGCGCAAGCCUGAUCCAGCCAUACCGCGUGGGUGAAGAAGGCCUUCGGGUUGUAAAGCCCUUUUGUUGGGAAAGAAAAGCAGCAGGUUAAUACCCCGCUGUUCUGGCGGUACCCAAAGAAUAAGCACCGGCUAACUUCGUG